CCUACGGGUGGCAGCAGUGGGGAAUAUUGGGCAAUGGACGCAAGUCUGACCCAGCAACGCCGCGUGAAGGAAGAAGGCUUUCGGGUUGUAAACUUCUUUUAAGGGGGAAGAGCAGAAGACGGUACCCCUUGAAUAAGCCACGGCUAACUACGUGCCAGCAGCCGCGGUAAUACGUAGGUGGCAAGCGUUGUCCGGAUUUACUGGGUGUAAAGGGCGUGCAGCCGGGAAGACAAGUCAGAUGUGAAAUCCCGCGGCUCAACUCUGGGACUGCUUUUGAAACUGCCGGGCUGGAGUGCAGGAGAGGUAAGCGGAAUGCGUGGUGUAGCGGUGAAAUGCGUAGAUAGUAGGAGGAACACCAGUGGCGAAGGCGGCUUACUGGACUGUAACUGACGUUGAGGCUCGAAAGCGUGGGGAGCAAACAGGAUUAGAUACCCGUGUAGUC
Molecule: ribosomal RNA, 442 nt
Filed under: uncultured bacterium
Lineage: Bacteria
Description: partial 16S ribosomal RNA
Rfam family: Bacterial small subunit ribosomal RNA
Source: RNAcentral